This 373-nucleotide ribosomal RNA is filed under the name uncultured bacterium. Its description in RNAcentral is "bacterial SSU rRNA". It matches the Rfam family "Bacterial small subunit ribosomal RNA", at positions 523 to 898 of the family's 1533-position model. The record is from RNAcentral.
AUACGGAGGAUGCAAGCGUUAUCCGGAUUCAUUGGGUUUAAAGGGUGCGCAGGCGGGUUUGUAAGUCAGUGGUGAAAGACUGCCGCUUAACGGUAGAGGUGCCAUUGAUACUGCGGAUCUUGAGUGUGGAUGAGGUAAGCGGAAUGUGCAGUGUAGCGGUGAAAUGCAUAGAGAUUGCACAGAACGCCGAUUGCGGAGGCAGCUUACUAAUCCAUUACUGACGCUGAGGCACGAAAGCGUGGGGAGCGAACAGGAUUAGAUACCCUGGUAGUCCACGCUGUAAACGAUGUUCACUCGCUGUUUGCGAUAUACAGUAAGCGGCUGAGCGAAAGCAUUAAGUGAACCACCUGGGGAGUACGAUCGCAAGGUUGAA